This 320-nucleotide unclassified non-coding RNA is filed under the name plant metagenome. RNAcentral describes it as "partial contains 5.8S ribosomal RNA, internal transcribed spacer 2, and large subunit ribosomal RNA". The stretch from base 1 to 105 matches the Rfam family "5.8S ribosomal RNA", at positions 50 to 154 of the family's 154-position model. The record is from RNAcentral.
GAAAUGCGAUAAGUAAUGUGAAUUGCAGAAUUCAGUGAAUCAUCGAAUCUUUGAACGCACAUUGCGCCCGCCAGUAUUCUGGCGGGCAUGCCUGUUCGAGCGUCAUUACAACCCUCAGGCCCCCGGGCCUGGCGUUGGGGAUCGGCGGAAGCCCCCUGCGGGCACAACGCCGUCCCCCAAAUACAGUGGCGGUCCCGCCGCAGCUUCCAUUGCGUAGUAGCUAACACCUCGCAACUGGAGAGCGGCGCGGCCACGCCGUAAAACACCCAACUACUGAAUGUUGACCUCGAAUCAGGUAGGAAUACCCGCUGAACUUAAGC